Molecule: ribosomal RNA, 251 nt
Filed under: uncultured bacterium
Lineage: Bacteria
Description: partial 16S ribosomal RNA
Rfam family: Bacterial small subunit ribosomal RNA
Source: RNAcentral
CAGGGGGGGCAAGCGUUGUUCGGAAUUACUGGGCGUAAAGGGCCAGUAGGCGGCCAACUAAGUCACACGUGAAAUCCCCAGGCUUAACCUGGGAACUGCGUGUGAUACUGGAUGGCUUGAAUUCGGGAGAGGGAUGCAGAAUUCCAGGUGUAGCGGUGAAAUGCGUAGAUAUCUGGAGGAAUACCGGUGGCGAAGGCGGCAUCCUGGACCGACAUUGACGCUGAACGGCGAAAGCUAGGGGAGCAAACGGG